UUUUUAUUUAUAUAUAUUGAUAAGAUUGAUUUUGUCUUAUGUUAAUUAGCUUAUUUUGAUAAUAUUAAAUGUAAGUUUUUGCGUGAAUUUAAGGUUGUCUUAAUGAUAAUUUGUUUUAUUUAAUUAUAGUUUUUAAUUUUAAUUUUUACGUUAUUGUAGAGUUAGUUAAUUUUUUAGAAUUGUAAAAGGGAGUGCCAGCAUACGCGGUUAUACUUCUGAUUCAAGUUAAUUUGUUUUGGUUUAUAUUGAUUUUAUUUUUUGGGAGUUUGGAUUUAUUUUUUAAGUGAAAUUUGAAUUUUUUUUAUAUUUUCUUGGUUUAAGAUCAUAUUAAAUUUAGAAUUUAAACUAGGAUUAGAUACCCUAUUAUUCUAAAUGUAAGGUUUAACCAUAUUACUAAUAGUUAAGAUCUUUAAAUUAAAAAAAUUUGGCGGUAAUUUAGUCUUUUCAGAGGAACCUGUUCUUUAAUCGAUAAUCCACGAUGGAUUUUACUUUAAUUUUUGUUUGUAUA
RNAcentral lists this ribosomal RNA (508 nucleotides) under Haidara producta. RNAcentral describes it as "partial small subunit ribosomal RNA". The record is from RNAcentral. Lineage: Eukaryota; Metazoa; Arthropoda; Insecta; Hemiptera; Coreidae.